CCUACGGGUGGCAGCAGUGAGGAAUAUUGGUCAAUGGACGUAAGCCUGAACCAGCCAAGUCGCGUGAGGGAUGAAGGUUCUAUGGAUCGUAAACCUCUUUUAUAAGGGAAUAAAGUGCGGGACGUGUCCCGUUUUGUAUGUACCUUAUGAAUAAGGAUCGGCUAACUCUGUGCAAGCAGCCGCGGUAAUACGGAGGAUCCGAGCGUUAUCCGGAUUUAUUGGGUUUAAAGGGUGCGUAGGCGGCCUUUAAUUCAGCGGUGAAAGUCUGUGGUUGAAACAUAGAAUCGCCGUUGAAACUGGGAGACUAGAGUAUGUGUGGGGCAGGCGGAAGGCGAGGUGUAGCGGUGAAAUGCGUAGAUAUCAGGCAGAACCCCGGUUGCGAAGGCAGCCUGCCAAGCCAUGACUGACGCUGAUGCACGAAAGCGUGGGGAUCAAACAGGAUUAGAUACCCUUGUAGUC
RNAcentral lists this ribosomal RNA (459 nucleotides) under uncultured bacterium. RNAcentral describes it as "partial 16S ribosomal RNA". It matches the Rfam family "Bacterial small subunit ribosomal RNA", at positions 338 to 795 of the family's 1533-position model. The record is from RNAcentral.